CAUCGCCUCUUGCAAAACAUAGAAUAAGAGGUCGCGCCUGCCCAGUGACAUCUGAUUAAACGGCCGCGGUAUUUUAACUGUGCUAAGGUAGCGCAAUCACUUGUCUUUUAAAUGAAGACCUGUAUGAAAGGUAUGACGAGGGCUUAACUGUCUCCUUUUCUAAGUCAAUGAAAUUGAUCUCCCCGUGCAGAAGCGGGGAUAAUAACAUAAGACGAGAAGACCCUGUGGAGCUUGAGACGUCAGAGCGGACCCCGUUAAAAAUGCCUAAAAGCUAUAAACUGAAGGGCGACCACCCUAGUGUCUUCGGUUGGGGCGACCAUGGGGAAAACAAAUCCCCCACGUGGACUAAGAGCACAAACCCCUUUCCUAUAACCCCACUCUUACAAACCAGAGCAACAGCUCCAAUUAACAGAAUUUCUGACCAAAAAUGAUCCGGCAGUGCCGAUCAACGAACCAAGUUACCCCAGGGAUAACAGCGCAAUCCCCUUUUAGAGCCCCUAUCGACAAGGGGGUUUACGACCUCGAUGUUGGAUCAGGACAUCCUAAUGGUGCAACCGCUAUUGAGGGUUCGUUUGUUCAACGAUUAAAGUCCUACGUGA
This 599-nucleotide ribosomal RNA is filed under the name Citharichthys sordidus (Pacific sanddab). Its description in RNAcentral is "partial 16S ribosomal RNA". It matches the Rfam family "Bacterial large subunit ribosomal RNA", at positions 1814 to 2603 of the family's 2925-position model. Lineage: Eukaryota; Metazoa; Chordata; Actinopteri; Pleuronectiformes; Cyclopsettidae. The record is from RNAcentral.